AAGGUUUUCAGAGCAUUGUUCAGCUUUCCAUAUCCCUGCAGAAAAGACGAGAGGGAAAGUGAACCCAGAGCCUAGGGUGUGGGAGUGAGGCUCCAAUUUCCUAAAUCAUUUGUGAUUAUAAACAUGGAUUCCCAUCUUGCCUGGCACCCAGGUCUACAGGUUUUCUGAAAUCUGCUAUACGAGAGAGUAAAGAGCAGGCUAGGGGAACCCAACAAUAGCUGGAGGAGGGUUUUUAUUACCUGGAGCAUAGCACUGAAGCAUCGACAUCCCACAGUCCCUCUUCAGCUCUGCUGUGAUCAAAGGCUCCUAGGAGAGUCAUAAGAAAGAGCAGAUGGGUGUAGGGGAAGAAAGUCGUGUAGUCGAAAAACAGGGUCAUUCCUCUUGAGUCCAGCAGAGAACUGUAUUCACAGGAGAGCUCUGUGCCAUUGACAAGAGUGCGAAAGAGGAAGCCUACAUGACUUUGAGACUUGUGACCUGACCUGCCUCUGUCCAGCCAACCACAUUGAAUGGGGUCAGUUAGCUGCCUUCAUCUAUGGAGUCACAAAGGU
Molecule: long non-coding RNA, 548 nt
Filed under: Bos taurus (domestic cattle)
Lineage: Eukaryota; Metazoa; Chordata; Mammalia; Artiodactyla; Bovidae
Description: long non-coding RNA NONBTAT024613
Source: RNAcentral